Molecule: ribosomal RNA, 538 nt
Filed under: uncultured bacterium
Lineage: Bacteria
Description: bacterial SSU rRNA
Rfam family: Bacterial small subunit ribosomal RNA
Source: RNAcentral
AAUAGAUACCCUGGUAGUCCAUGCCGUAAACGUUGGGCACUAGGUGUGGGGCUCAUUCCACGAGUUCCGUGCCGCAGCAAACGCAUUAAGUGCCCCGCCUGGGGAGUACGGCCGCAAGGCUAAAACUCAAAGAAAUUGACGGGGGCCCGCACAAGCGGCGGAGCAUGCGGAUUAAUUCGAUGCAACGCGAAGAACCUUACCAAGGCUUGACAUACACCGGAAACUUCCAGAGAUGGUUGCCCCGCAAGGUCGGUGUACAGGUGGUGCAUGGUUGUCGUCAGCUCGUGUCGUGAGAUGUUGGGUUAAGUCCCGCAACGAGCGCAACCCUCGUCCUAUGUUGCCAGCGGGUCAUGCCGGGGACUCAUAGGAGACUGCCGGGGUCAACUCGGAGGAAGGUGGGGAUGACGUCAAAUCAUCAUGCCCCUUAUGUCUUGGGCUUCACGCAUGCUACAAUGGCCGGUACAAAGGGCUGCGAUACCGCGAGGUGGAGCGAAUCCCAAAAAGCCGGUCUCAGUUCGGAUUGGGGUCUGCAACUCCG